UUACUUGCUUAAAGAGCAUUCCUAUUUAAAAGAUUCGUGUUUUAAAUUCUCUCUCCUCACUCGACUUAGCUCUCAAACGAGUUCCCCUCUAAAAAACACCUUGCUGCAAAAUCGAAGCUGCUAAAAUUGGAAUCCUUGAAAUCGAUUGCUGCAAAAUCGAAAAAGAGAAAUCGAAGCCAGAUUGAAAGGCCCAGAUCGUGGUUUCCUCUCUCCAAUCAAAUUGUGUUUCCUCUCUCCAAUAUCAGACCCAAAUCACGAUUCACCCAUCUUGGGUAGAUAGGUUGAACAAAUCGGCACUCGGCAUCCCCUAUUUCAGAUUCAAGCUCGAAAAUCUAUUUCGGUGACAAGAAGACUAAGAAUAACAUUCACUAUCAUCCUUCAUUAUGUGCUUUCUGCGAGAUUCUUUUCCUACCCAAUGUUGUCGAGGUCUAAAAAUUUUUUCCAUUCUGUAUUUUGGGCUUAUUUUGUGGUUUAUGUUUUGCUGAGCCAAUAACUUAUUUGUUAGCUCUAAGAAUUGGAAAUUUUGAUUAGUAUUAGGUUUUAUACUGGGUAUUCGGUCACUUAUUUUGGCUUUGUUUAGUUAUAAAUUUAUCAAAUUAGCUAAUUUGUUAGCUCUAACAAUUAGGAAUUUUAUACAAGUAUGGACAAACUAAGAAAAACAGAGUUGUUGAGUGACUGCCCUAGCUCUAACCUAACUGACAUUCCGCAUAAAAUUUUGAAAAUAAAUAAAGAUACAAUUUUUGUGAAAAUUUGGGAAGACCCUUAAGCUUUAUAGCUGGAUUUGCUUUAUCCCUCAUGAACUCUCUUAUUCCAUCUUCAUUACAGCAACUAGCAAGCAAGUUUCUGUAGGUAGUUGAGCACAGUAGCCACCAUUAAUUAAUUUAAUUUUUUAGAAUUUCGUUAUCUUUAUGCAGUGUACAUGUGGUAAUACUAUUGAUUGUUUGAAAUGAAAGGAGUGCAACAGUUGGUUAGUUGAUGGUUUUUUUUUCUUUUUCUUUUUCUCUGAAUUACAAAUACUUUUGUUUAUUUGUAGUAGCUGUUGAAUUAUGUAAAAUUUUAUUUCAUUUUAUUUGCAAUAGCUAUUCCACAAAAACUACGGUGUUGAGUGAUUAGAAUACAAGUAGUUAUUCAAUUAUGUAAAAUUUUCAAAGAUAUUUUCAUUGUUUCAUCUAAUUCAUGUUUACCCAAUUUCUAUAUUUGGUCUAAUAAGCACAAAUGGGGUGGUGUUGGUUGAUCUGGUAGACGCAUCUUUUUAUUUGGUGAAUAGGAAUGCUCCACUGGUUCAAAGAAGAUUUUGCUUAGUUUUGAAAAAAAAAAGUUUUACUCUUGUGUCGUCCUUCAGUACACUCUGUCGAUCCUUCAACUAACUAAGAUUUGCAAGAAUAUAAAGAUUAUUACCCAAUUUUAUGUUUGAUCUAAUCAUGACAGUUUCUCUUUGAAGGCAACAAUGAUGAAGACUUCAGCAACUACCCAAAGAGCUGACCAACCUACUCAAUAAACUCAAGGAAUUCAAGCACCUGUUGCAUAUCAAGCCACUCAAGGAAACCUAUUGCAUCUGAAAGCAUUCCACAGUUGAGAAAAUUCCCAAGUCUGGUUGAGAAAUAAAACAAUCUUCUGGUGUUUUCAUGAAUGCUCUUGGUUUGGUUGAAACAAGAAUGCUUUUGGUCUUAAUUAUUUGACCAAUUUUUAGUUUUAAGUAUGUAACACUGGUGCUUUUUGUUUACUUGCACAUGGAUGUUUUUGUUUUAGUUUCAGAGGUUUCUUUUGGUUUUAGUUGAACAGGGCUCUUUUGGUUUUACUUGCACAAGGAUGCUUUAUAUAAACAGUUGUGCUUUUUGUUUGCUACCACUA
This 1851-nucleotide long non-coding RNA is filed under the name Panax ginseng (ginseng). Its description in RNAcentral is "long non-coding RNA (PGIN_LNC015777)". The record is from RNAcentral. Lineage: Eukaryota; Viridiplantae; Streptophyta; Magnoliopsida; Apiales; Araliaceae.